This 752-nucleotide ribosomal RNA is filed under the name Amanita diemii. RNAcentral describes it as "eukaryotic LSU rRNA". It matches the Rfam family "Eukaryotic large subunit ribosomal RNA", at positions 96 to 877 of the family's 3401-position model. Lineage: Eukaryota; Fungi; Basidiomycota; Agaricomycetes; Agaricales; Amanitaceae. The record is from RNAcentral.
AAGAGGGAAGAGCUCAAAUUUAAAAUCUGGCAGUGUCCGAGUUGUAAUCUAGAGAAGUGCUGCCCGUGCUGGACCAUGUACAAGUCUCCUGGAAUGGAGCGUCACAGAGGGUGAGAAUCCCGUCUUUGACAUGGACUAGUGCAUUGUGGUGUGCUCUCAAAGAGUCGAGUUGUUUGGGAAUGCAGCUCUAAAUGGGUGGUAAACUCCAUCUAAAGCUAAAUAUUGGCGAGAGACCGAUAGCGAACAAGUACCGUGAGGGAAAGAUGAAAAGAACUUUGGAAAGAGAGUUAAACAGUAUGUGAAAUUGUUGAAAGGGAAACGCUUAAAGUCAGUCGUGUCGGCCAGGGAUCAAUGGGUGUACUUCCUGACUGAUGGGCCAACAUCAGUUUUGACUGCUGGAGAAGGAUAGAGGGAAUGUGGCACCGGGUGUGUUAUAGCUCUCUGUCAGAUGCAGUGGUUGGGACUGAGGAAGGCAGCACGCGGCCGGGUCGACCACGUUCGUGCUGAGGAUGUUGGCAAUGGCUUUAAUCGACCCGUCUUGAAACACGGACCAAGGAGUCUAACAUGCCUGCGAGUGUUUGGGUGGCAAACCCGAGCGCGGAAUGAAAGUGAAAGUUGAGAUCCAGGGAGCAUCGACGCCCGGACCUGAGCUUUUGCAAAGGAUCUGCGGUAGAGCAUGUAUGUUAGGACCCGAAAGAUGGUGAACUAUGCCUGAAUAGGGUGAAGCCAGAGGAAACUCUGGUGGAGGCUCG